Long non-coding RNA from Bos taurus (domestic cattle), 5969 nucleotides. The record is from Ensembl. Lineage: Eukaryota; Metazoa; Chordata; Mammalia; Artiodactyla; Bovidae.
CCGCCUGCCGCCUUCUCAGUCAUGUUGCAUUCCCCUUCAUGACAAAGUUCUGUUAAAGCCAUGUUGGUGUGAUUCUGCCAUGAAAAAGAAUGAUGUUCUGAUAUGGCUGCAGCAUGGACGAACCCUGAGAACAUAAUGCUGAGUGAAAGAAGCCGGUCACAGAGGGUCACCUUCCGUAUGAAAUAUGUAUUUCCUUUGUAUGAAAGACCCAGAACAGGUGAAUCUAUAGAGACGAAGAGGAGAUUAGCGAUUGUUUAGGAGUGGGGGAUGGGGGAGGGGGUUAGAAGAUUCGGUGGGAGUGGUGGGCUGUUAAAGGGGACAGGGUUUUCUUUUUGAAGUGAUGAAAAUGUUUUAAAAUUGAUUGUGUUGACUGUCGCACAACUCUGUGAACAUACGCAAAGCCAUUUGGGGGGUGUACUAUUUGAAAUGGUUGAAUUAUGUGGUAAAUGAAUUCUAUCUCAAUAAAGCUGUUGGGGAAAAAAGUCAUGUCUCCCUGCCCAACCCCUUCUCCUGUCAGGAAUCCACAGGCUCCAGCCUCCUGCCUUUGGGAAACCUCUCUCCUCCACCCUCUCUCUGCACACACACGCGUGCACACACACUCUUCCCAUCUCCCCUUCUCGUUACCUUCUUCUGCCUUAAAACAUUUUCCCUCCUGUUGCCAUUCUUGCCAACUCCAGAGAAAUGCCUUCUCCAAAGAGAAGUUCCUUCCACAGCCAAAGUGCCCCAUUGAGGUAUUUUCCUAAAACUCUUUUAACACUUUCCUCUUUAAGUUACUCACUUAACAGCUAUUAAAAUUACAGUUUUAAAGUCCCCAUGGCGAUCGAUCAUGGCAGUCACUAGUAAGUCCUAAUAGUUGUAAAUUCCAAGAGCUUCAUAAUCCCAAGGAAAGAGAGGCCAACUGACCCUCUCCCAAGGCCCAGCGGGCUCUGUUCUGAGACAUGACUGAGUCGCCUCACAGGUAGGGAGAGACGGUGAGGAAGAAUGUGGCCAGGGCCAGGUGCUUCCUAACUGGAAGGCAGGUGUUAGGGUCUGGAACGCGGAGGGGAGGUGAACUAUACAGUCUGUGGGGCCAAAAUCACCCUACUUCCUGAUUUUGUAAAUAAAGUUUUAUUGGAACACGCAGCCAGGACCACUCAUUUACUUAAUGCUUCUGGCUGUUUUCUUGUUACAACAGCAGAGUGGAGUAGCUCUGACAAGGGAUUGUAUGACCUGUAAAGUCUAAAAUAUUUAGUAUCUGGCCCUUUCCAGAAGAAGUUUGCUGACGCCUGAUCUGGAAGGUUCCAGCUUGAACUCUGGCUCAUCACACACUGGGUGUGUGACCUUGGACAAGUCAGUUCCUCUCUCUAAGCUUGCUGCUUCAUCAGGAAGCCAGAGGCAGUAACAGUGCCUCCCGAUAUGUUGCUCGUGCAACAAGACUUCAUACAUGUGAAGAGUUUAGCUCAUAUAAAACACUCAGUGUAUGCUGGCAGUUACGAUAUUAUUUAGAAAUGAGACCAGUAACUUCUACUUCAUAUGCCGAUUAUCUGAAGCGAUAGAGAUCGAGCCUGUGAAAACAGCUCGCCCAAAACACAUUAAUUAUUGUUGUAAAUCUCUUAAAGGAUUUUCAGAUGAUUCUUUGCUUGUUAGUAAAACUAAGUUGUUUUUUUUUUUUUUUUUUAAGGGAGCAAAUUUGGAACUGUAAGAAUGUAGAAAAACUCUAAUUUCUGAGGAAAAGAGGAACUUGAACCCCCCCCCCAAAUCCAAACUCUCAUUUAGCAGUCCAGGAAACUGUACCCCCUGAUCCUUGGCUGGGACUUGAACCUGCCCAGAAUUACAAUAUUCUUUUGGCUGAGAUGGUAUCUUCUCCAAUAACUGGUGCUCAGGGAUCCAGGCCUAUGUUUUCUUUAAACAGUUGUGUUGCCUCUGAAGCCCUGGGGAUUCAGCAAUGAAUGAUUCACCCCCUGCCCUGGGCAGCUGCCCCGCCUUCCUUCUAAUGGGGACACCAGACAAUCAAACAAAAACUAGGGCAAUUUGGCCCCACAGUAAGUCCUGUAUGCACCCCAGGAUUUCAGUCCCACACUAAACACUGUAAUGAUGAACUGGAAAACUGUUCUGGACCAUCCAUCUAUGAGAGAUUGAUGGUAGGAGUUAAGAGGGCCGGCUUUGGAGGAAGUCAGAUCUGGGCAAGACUGGCUUUGUAAUUUGCAAAACGAAAACGUGAACCCCUUGUUCCCAAAAUUAUUCAGAAUUUCAAUGACAAGAGUGGAGCAUUGAACCAGCAGGGCCCACACUGUGAAGCCGACCCCACACCCAGGGUCAGACUGCUUUAAGCUGGACACAGAUGUGUCCACGUGGAUAUGUCCACGUGGACACAUCUCUUCACCUGCCUGAGCUUCCGUGUCCUCAUCUGAACAAAGAGAUGCUAAGGCCUACCUGAGGCUGGUGCGGCUAGAGAGAAGAGGCAGGCAAAGCUCUGAGUGGGGGAGAGUGGGCUCAACAGCAUCAUGGCUGCUCUCAGCCUGCAGUGAUGGCCUCAUGUCAUCUGUGAGGACAGGGAGUGUUUAUGAUGCUUAGUUAGUAGACAGUGGCUGAGACUUAGCAGACGGUCAAUGCCAGGCGACUGUCUUUAGUUCUUUACGGAUAUUCAUUUCAUCCUCCAUGCAGCCCUGCUCUGUAGGUACCAUUAUAGAGACAGAAAUUCAGGCCCAAAGAGAAGAAAUUUGGUUUGGGUUUCACACCCAUCAGUGGAAAAAUCCAGAUUCAAAUCAGGGACACCUGGCCCCCCAGGUCUGUGUUCUCAACUGACCUAUGUGUUCCGGGAGUCGUCACAUCCCUGACACAUACACGUGCACACACACACAUGUACACAUGCCCCUUCCCUGAGAUGCUGACGUGAAGCGGACUGUGUGGAACUGUCCCCACCAUGUGGGAUUCUUUCUCUCUUUACUUGCUCUUUUGAUUUUGCCGUACCACUCAACCGGGAGCCCUAGGAGGGCAGGCGCCGUCUUGCUUCCCACGGCAUCCCUGGCACCGGGGACCAUGCCAAGCACACAGUAGGCCCUCAGGAGGCAUGCACCAGUGGAGGCAGCAGGAAGCAGGCAUCCAACCAGAGCACUCUGAUGCAGAAUCAAUAGCAGCAGUUCCAGGAACCUCAAGACUGUGGGCUAAAGAACAUGUCUGGGUUGGGGGAGAUCUCAUGGCUAGAAGAACCAUCUCACACCCUGCUGGCUUCUCUCACUUGGGGUUCUCCCACUGGGGCAGGGGUGGGUAAGAGGCAUUCACAGGGAAUCCCUGGGGCCCAGCCCCCAGCCCCCAGCCCAGCAGGCAGAAGGGCGAGGGCACAGGUUGUGCUCUGGCAGCUGGGCCCCAGCUGUCCGCCAGCCUCUCAGUGCCCGCCCCAGCUGGCCAGCCGGGCCCCGAUGCCACCCCCCACCCCAUGACACAGCAGAAAGUGAAACCAGACCCGCCCCUGCUGGCUGGGACCCAGUGCCCGCUGUUUCCCCAUCCCAGGGGGUGGGCGGGGAGAGGAUGGCCGGGCCAGGCAGCAGCCUGUCCAAGGAGUGCCCCUCCAGGCCAAGGGUGCCGCUGUGCCCCUGCCCAUCCCAGGGUCACUGGUGCCCACCACCUUCUGAGCUGUGCCCUGUUUGUGAGCCACCAGAGCUCCCCAACUGAGUUCUGGAUCUUCACACUGCUCUAGGCGGGGUGGCUAACUAUUCUCCCCAUUUCACAGAGAAAACUGAGGCUCAGAGAGGUGCCCUCGCCAGGAAAGAGGGCACUGGGGUAGCAAGAUCCUAAAAUAAGAGACCAAUCAGAGCUAUGGGUGGGUGUAGGGGCAGAGAUCCGAAGCGUCUCACUGGUGUUGGCACGCAGGGCAGGAGUUGGCGGGGGGAGACUCGUGGCACCCAGGUUGUCACAGGUGGAGCCCACCACAGGGUGGAAGUGGCAUACCAACUCCACAGGUGCGGAAAAUCCCUAAGACAAAUUCUGAAGAAGUGGACUAUGGGGACAUCCUAGGUGGCCCAGUGGUUACGACUCCGAGCGCUCACUGCCGAGAGCCCGGGUUCAAUUCCUAAUCUGGGAGCUAAGAUCCCACAAGCCAGGAACAAAAGAAAAAGCAUAUGAAACUUUACAAAGGAUCAUCUCGAGUCCUGCCCCAUUCUGCCACCUGUACUUGCCUUUGCUUGAAUGUUUCCUUGCAAGCAACUCAUCCUCUUUAUCUUACAUGCUUACUGUGCUUGGUCGCUCAGUCAUGUCCAACUCUUUGUGACCCCAUGGGUGUAGCCCACCAGGCUCCUCUGUCCAUGGGGAUUCUCCAGGCAAGAAAUUGAUGUAAAAAGAAAAAAGUCCUCCUCCCCGGAACCCUAAACUGAAAGCCAACCGCUUGCCACAGUAAAAAUCAGCUGUACGAAAGAAAUACCUGUUCGAAUAAUUUACAUCUCUAGCCAGGAACCACUUAAAAUCCUGUGCCUAUCAGACUUGAGAAACUUCUAUCCCAGAACGUGGGUUUCCUGUGAGAGGCAAUGGAAGUCCAUAGAGGCUGAGUCACUUGCCUAGGGGGGGAGACACACUGCAAGAGCUGCAGAGCUGGGGCUGCCUGAUUCCAGGAUUGCAGAAACCUGUGCGUAUGUCGGACCGCAGUCCUGCUCCUGUCUGAGUUGUCUCUGCGUGCACGGCGGGUAUUAGUAUCAGCACAGACAGCUUCCAUGUGUAAUGCCUGUCCCCACUUUCCCAGCGCCUUCUGAGCCUAUCACUUGAACUCACGAUAACACGGCAGAUACAAGUGAGAACUCUUUCAGGCUGAAGCACGGGGGUGGUGGUCCCUCCCUUGCCAGGGUAGGAAACCGAGGCAGAGGGUGGGAAAGUGGGCUGAUUCGGGGAAGCCGGUGAGCCAGUCAUGACUGUCCAGGGCUUCUGCCAAGGUGAGGAGCCCAGAGGCCCUGCUGGAAGGCCCAGGCUAAAUGUGAACCAGCCUCGUCAAACAGGUAACACUUGUUUCUUCCCCACCUCCCCCGCCACGAACCCCCACAGCACACGCGGACAGCAGCCGCAGUUGUCCCGUUCCCCAAGCCUCAUCUCCGACAUUCGGACCCUGGAGGGCAAAAAGCGUGUUUAGCAACCAUCUGCGGAUGGCAUCUUUUUUAUUUUCCGUGGUGAUCACCAACCAGUUCUCAAUGCCACGAGGGGAGCACUCCCGGGGACCAGAAAGAGUUUGGGGUGGGGGCGGGGGGGACAUCUUUCUCUCUUCUUUUAGUUGCUGGAGAAACUCAGCUGCCGUGGCUGGCCCAAGGACCCCCGAGGAAUACUGCAAGAGCAAUAAGGAUUUUUAGGGGCAUUAUGAUAGUGGAAUGCAAACACAUCUGCCCCCAAAAGUCCCUCAUUUUCCCUGCGGUAACCAACCAGCUGGGCAGGAAGUGAGGGCUCUUGGAACCCCAAGAGCCAAAACUAAAAAGGAAAAAAUGCAGAUAGUUACAGCAAACUUGAGACAAGCCGACGCUUUCCCUGGUGCACGGCGGUGGCUCCACCCAGGCUCCCUAAAGGCUAAGAAUUGGCUAACUAGGUCUCCACACAGCGGUUUCCAUACAGAUGCACCUCCUCCAUGUCCAGAAAACCAGGAUCUGGGAUUUCAGGGCAGGUGAUAAGGAUCAGUCCCUCAGGUCAAGUGAGUCUAGGGAGCCUGGGGCCAUCUCCCUCAGACCAUGAAUGAUUAUUAUUCCCAACCCUCAUUACUAAUCUGAGUGAAUCUCGGAUCCUUCCAUUUCUCCUUUCUUUGGGAUGUGGAAAGUUAUAAACUCGGAAACACGGAUGAAAAUAUUAGCAAGCAGGGAUUUGCAGAGCUGUAUGAACAAGUGAAGGGUGAGAGCUUGGGUCAGGGAGCCUGGUGGUUAUCACUGAUGGGGCCAGAGUGGAAAAACCAUGGCAAAGGUCCACGGUGCAGACUCAAGAAAUCAAGGGCAGGGGCUCCCUGGGAUGUGUGAUCUCCAAGGGUCUCU